Molecule: ribosomal RNA, 312 nt
Filed under: Triticum aestivum (bread wheat)
Lineage: Eukaryota; Viridiplantae; Streptophyta; Magnoliopsida; Poales; Poaceae
Description: partial small subunit ribosomal RNA
Source: RNAcentral
AUGCAUCCCCAGUUUGCUUCCAGAGAAGGAAGGGGAAGAGUUACAAUUACAACAUGGGGCUUCAAGUGUCUAUUACUGUGGAUCACCAAUAUUUUGUUAUAUCCGUGCAUUUUAGUUACGACUAAGUGCCACACCAAUGAAUGUGAAUGUCUGUUCAGGGUUUUCUUGUUGCUGCUAUUCCUCGUGGAUAUUCAAUAUGCAACUUGGCACCUAAUGUCAGCAACGUGCUUAUCGGUGACGAGGGAAAUGAAAGAAGGCUGCAAUGGAAUUUGUACUAGAUCAGAUUUUGGCCAUAUAAUUUCCGGUGACUAG